AAUGGCCUACCAAGGCGACGAUCAGUAGCCGGCCUGAGAGGGUGAACGGCCACACUGGGACUGAGACACGGCCCAGACUCCUACGGGAGGCAGCAGUGGGGAAUCUUCCGCAAUGGACGAAAGUCUGACGGAGCAACGCCGCGUGUAUGAUGAAGGUCUUCGGAUUGUAAAGUACUGUUUUUAGGGAAGAACGGUCUCUUCAGGAAUAUGGAGGAGACAUGACGGUCACCUAAGGAGGAAGCCCCGGCUAACUACGUGCCAGCAGCCGCGGUAAUACGUAGGGGGCGAGCGUUGUCCGGAAUUAUUGGGCGUAAAGGGCGCGUAGGCGGGUAUUUAAGUCCGGUGUGAAAGAUCAGGGCUCAACCCUGAGAGUGCAUCGGAAACUGGGUAU
Molecule: ribosomal RNA, 391 nt
Filed under: Desulfosporosinus sp. enrichment culture DGGE gel band SulLac3
Lineage: Bacteria; Bacillati; Bacillota; Clostridia; Eubacteriales; Desulfitobacteriaceae
Description: bacterial SSU rRNA
Rfam family: Bacterial small subunit ribosomal RNA
Source: RNAcentral